UACGAAGGGGGCUAGCGUUGUUCGGAAUCACUGGGCGUAAAGGGCGCGUAGGCGGCUUUAUAAGUCGGGGGUGAAAGCCUGUGGCUCAACCACAGAAUUGCCUUCGAUACUGUAGAGCUUGAGACCGGAAGAGGUAAGUGGAACUGCGAGUGUAGAGGUGAAAUUCGUAGAUAUUCGGAAGAACACCAGUGGCGAAGGCGACUUACUGGACACAUAUUGACGCUGAGGUGCGAAAGCGUGGGGAGCAAACAGG
RNAcentral lists this ribosomal RNA (253 nucleotides) under uncultured bacterium. RNAcentral describes it as "partial 16S ribosomal RNA". It matches the Rfam family "Bacterial small subunit ribosomal RNA", at positions 524 to 776 of the family's 1533-position model. The record is from RNAcentral.